This 6130-nucleotide small RNA is filed under the name Olea europaea subsp. europaea. The record is from RNAcentral. Lineage: Eukaryota; Viridiplantae; Streptophyta; Magnoliopsida; Lamiales; Oleaceae.
AAGUCCUUUUGCUCCAUCUGCCAUAGAAUCAAUGGUUUUUCCAAGCAUUCGCAUGUAUGCCAAAGAACCGAGCAAUCCAGCACCAUAGCUGAACAGAAAAGAAUUAUGAUUACAUACUGGCAGACAGAAUAUCUUUAUGAACUACUGCUAUACGGAAAAUGAUCCAGCGAGUAAGUGUCAACAUAAGAAGGAUUUGUCUGCACCUGAUUAUGUGAUCAAUCAGAAAUGUAAACAGAAGCCCAAUCCACAAAAAAUAUAAAUAAAAAAUAAUAAUAAUAAUAAUAACUAAAAAAACAAAAAGAACUGAGGUUUCAAAUAACAAGUCAUUUGCAAAGGAUGGUUAAUGCAAAAGGUAGUAGUUUCACAGAUGUCAAACGUCCCAUCUCAUUCACAAAUCAUCAAUAUAAUGCAGAUUAAUUUCACAAGGUUGAAGUAGUAGUCAUACAAAAAUUCUGAAACGCAUCCUAGCAAGGUGCUUACCUUGCUGCAAUUUCAGGAGAAUAAGAACAAUAGGCUGAGAUUACACCAACACCACCAAUGCCCAGUGUGAGGAACUGCAAUUUAUUCUUCAACUGCAAAAACAUUAAAAGGAGAGAUUGGAACUUCCAACUAAAGAUCUUAAGGAUGUAGAAGCUAAUAUUUUCUUCAAAAAACCUUAUAGUACUGUUCCCUUGACUGAGCAGCCAACACUUCUGGGUCCCCUCUGGGACGCUUUGAUUCCCUAAACAUCACUUCCUGCAGAACAAGAAAACUUGGAUUAACGUAAAAGGAUUCUUAAAAAAUACAAUAUAUAUAUAUAUAUAUAUAUAUAUAUAUAUAUAUAUAUAUAUAUAUAUAUAUAUAUAUAUAUAUAUAUAUAUAUAUAUAUUCAGCUCGAAAAUCAGCAAUUUGUUUUAAGCAAACAGAAGUUUAAGCAUAUAAGAUGAGAAGAAAAUUGCAUGUCCAAAAUGAAACUACACACACUGCCUCCAGUUGCAGCUUUAGUAGCUCUGUCCCACUUCUCUAGCUCACGUCGUGUUGGGGCUGGUCUCCAUUUUCGAGAAGCAAUGCUAUUACUCUACAAAUCAUUUCAAUCCUGAUGAGUAUGGAAAAUAACAAAUGCAAACUAGUUUUACAGACCAUUUUUUCAAAGGGAACUUAAAAUCUGUCACACUUGAAUUUCUUCAACUCGUGGUUCAACCGCAGAUCUUGAAGUCGCUGUUAACUCUUUGCUCAAGUCAAUUUCCAAACUGCAUCCUCAAAGAGUGGGACUAUUACACGGGAAAGCAGUAUAGGAAUUCAAGACAAAAUAAAAUAACAAUUUCCAAAAAUAAAAGGUUGUGUACCUGUCCAAGCUCAUCACUCUGUUCAAGCUAAGAAAUCCACAAGGCUCUUCCUGUUCAGAAACAUACCAAAACAGUAUAAUUUACCAAAUUCAGUGCUGAUACCUGGACAAUAUAUUUAUCAACUAAAAGCAAUAAAAAUUCAAUCUGUGGUAAAAUCAGAACAAACAGUUUCGGAAUGAAACCAAAAAAUUAGAUCAGCAGUACUUCGUAGAACAGUCAAUUAAUUAGACAAGCAGAACAUUCUAGAAAUUCUCUCUGAAAAGAAGGGGAAAAAAAUGACACUAGACAUCCCUAUACAAUGUUCAACAAGCAGUAUUAUCCAAGUUCCAAAUUCCAAAACAAUUAAUCUCAAUGAGCGCUAAAAAUUCCCCAUUUUUACUAAUUUCUCAUACAAAAGCAACAGCAAAAAUAAAACCCACAAUAUAAAUCACUCAAAAAAACCCAGAUAAUGACAAACCAAAAAUAAUCAAUUGGCCAAAUACUGGACCUUCGCAGAUGAGAAUCGAGGGUCAGAAUUAGUGUCGACAUCGACGGGGUCUUGAAUGAACUUUUUCAUUCGACCCAUGAAGUCUUUGUUCCACAAGUAUUCAUCAGAGGCAAGAGGGUCCUCAUCUCCACCCCAGUAUUUCCUGAGCUUCGUUGUGGUGGGUGGGCCCCCAUACUCACCCGGAGCCACCCCUGUAGACCAUUUCAUAGGCUUUUUCUUGGGCAGUAUGAUCUUGGUCGGCGGCCUCGUGAUUGCUGGCUGUGGAGAAUCUUGAGAUGUGGGUGUGGCUGUUGAAGUCACUGAGAGGUAGCAAUUCACUGCCGCUGCCAUUCUGUGUGACUGCGUGUGGGGGACGGGGCGCGGGAACUGAAAUAGGAAAUAUCUGCAGGGGAUUGUGAAUUGUGAUAGAGAAGAUGACACAGCGUAUCAAUUGAUAUUCCACCCAAGCAUUGUCCAUUUUUUGUAAUUUUUCACAGAUUUUUUAUUUUUUCUGAAUUAAUAAUUAUAUGAAUACUUUUUUUUUCUAUAGAGCUAAUAAAAUAGGUAAAAUACUCAUAUUUAUUUUAUUUUAAUAAAAAUUUAACUAGUAAAAAAUAUGAAAUAAUAAUAAUAAUGUAAUACGAUUAUCAUCCAUAGAUUACCUUAAAUGUCAUAAAAUAUUAAAGUAUUCAAAUUAUGACAUUGAAAAUAUUUAAACACUAUAAUAUUAUAGUAUUAACUUUGAAAAUAUAUAUUAUUAAGCCAUUGUUGGGACUUGGAGAUUAAAAUUAUAUUUUUAACAAUUUUGAUAAAAGUUGAUAAAAUAUGUAACUGAAAAACUAUGGAUCCCAUAUUUCAUCAUUGACUUUGAUUUAAAUUAAAAUUUAGAUCUUUCCCUUGUUUGAUCCCCAUUUUUAAAUCAAAAUAUAUUUUUCAACAGUGAUUUGAUAUCAUUUUAACCACACAUUCUUCAAUAAAAUAAUAUUAUACGUAAAUCAAAAAAAUUUCCUUAUUUUUUGAUCAUACAUUUCCCAUCAAUACACUAUUCAAAAAUGGGGCUUUAUUUCGUAUCAAAGGCCAAAUGAACUUUAAGCGUAGCAAUUAUUAUAUUUUAAAUCUACUAUUAUAUAUUAUUAACUUGAUUUAAGACAGAAACAUUGAUUUUGCGGGUCUGGUUAAAUUAUACUUUGUCUCUCUUACUAUUGUUCAUUGUCAGUUAAUUUCAAAUUCACAUACCAUAAAGCUUUCUAUUGCAAGGACUUUGAAGCUCUAUGGUCACAGAUGAAUGCAUGUGAACACUUGUGACAUAAAAUAUCAUACUCUCUCCAUCCAAUUUAUUUUUAUUUUCUUGUCCACAUUAUAGCAUCAAAUUUCUUUUAUUGAGAAUGUUUUGUUUGUUUACUAAUAUACUAUUACACUCUUUUAUAGUCAAAGUCAAAUAAGAACUUAAGCUAAACAAAUGAUUUUAUGGGGCUUGACUUGUAACUACCAAUAUUUAAAUGACCGAAAACAGAAUAAAAUAGGAAGUUAUGGAUUUAGUUUCCUAGUAUUAGAAGUAAAUGGACUAAAUGUUACAUUAUACGAAGAUUGGGGAGUUGACUUGCAAUUAUAUUAUAAUUAUCCAUUUAUAGUAAAGGAUAAGGAUUCCCUUUUGUUUUCAUUUGGGGGAGAAGCAGCAGGCAUAGAGGAAAGAAACCGAAACAAAGAAUGAGAGAAGGAAGAAGAAGAAAAUAGGGGUGGAAAAGAAAGGAAUGAGUGUUGGCUUCCAACUUUCAUUCAUUAAUUCUCCUUAUUUUCAAGAUGGAAGUAUAAAUUAUGUCAAUUGAAUUAUGGCAAAUUUGCUUAAAUUUGAAGUUAGCUAGGUAGACUAUUUUGAAUUAGGGUUAUGGAAUUUAAUUGUGAACAAGGUAGACUAGAUGGGGGGACUUUUAUGUGAACAAGUGGCUGUCUGGGUUCCAUAAAAUAAGAAUUUUGGACUUAUCUCUUUGGGCUUCUUUUUAAUUCUAACAAGGCUUUGUGAAGGGUUUUGGUUUCAAUAAAUCGAAUAUGAAAGUUGCUAACAUGUAUAGGUGUUCUCCUUGAUUAGUAGGGAAAUGAAGGAAACAGGUUGGAGUUGAUAGAAGCUGUCCACUUGUUUAUGUUAUAUAUUCUUAGACAUGGAAAAACUAGGAAAGAAAUAAAGAAUAAGAAAUAGAGGAAUACAAGUACGAUGAGUAUUUGGGAAUUCAUAACCAAUUUGAAUUAAUACAAUUUUUGAGACGCACAACUCUUAAUUUCCUUAAUUUAUUUAUUUUUAUCCUUAGAUUAAAACCAUAUCAAACAUUUUGCAAUAAAAUCAAAACAUAUCAAGGAAAUCAAAUUUCAGAAUAUAAAGAGUUAAAGGAACCGCUAAGUUUAUAUUAUACCAAAAGAGAAUUUUGUUUUACAAAAUACACCUCAUUACACCUUAAUCAUAUGACUAUCAAAAAAUUUUGAUCAAAAGAAAUGUGUGCAAAUUUUUCAAGAGUUACCUAUAGAUCUAUUCUAUAGCAGGCUGAUAUGGCGAAAUAUCAAAGUUUGGCAAAAUUCUUUUAUUUUUACUACACUCUUUUACUAGGCAUUAAUUUCCUACUUUACACAAUGCCACUUGCUGUUUACUCCACAUACAUUAUAGUAUUUACAUAACAAGAAGUGACCAAGUCAUAAAAAUCAAUAAUUAUCAUUACAAAAUCCUCCCCGUCUUCAAAAGUUUCGACCUCUUUUUCCUCGUCGAUCACCAUAUAAAAACGUGUAUAGUGGGUAUGUCUAUAUAUAACAUGUAUAGCUCUGAGGUCCUCAAUAAUCUCGACACGUCUGGUGGUUCGGAUAAUUUCAGUCUCUCGCGGUGGCAGCUACAAUACAAAAUACAGAACGUGAAUCAUAAAGUUCAGUAAAUAUGAUGAUGCAUGUCAAACAUACAUGGGCCCAAAUUCUUAUUAUAGUGUACCGUAUGAGCUCAGAAUAACAUGGACUUUUUCCUGCGUGUUAACCAAUAUCAACGCAUCCAUCGUUGCCCAUCAAGACUCAGGAUGCCACAUCAGUAUAUCAUAUAUACAAAUUCAAGGCCUGGCUUACAUAGAUACAGCGCUCAAGGUGCCUAUCGCAGUCCCAAGGCCACCAAAGGGACCUCCUGGUACUGCCCGUAUACAAGUAUCGAACUCCCAAUACCCUAUUCUUGGCUACCCUUAAUGACUGUCAGGAGCCUCAAAGCGGUACAGUUAUUCGGACACUAUAGUACGGUAUAUCUAUAAUGGGAUUCACAUUCAAAAUUUUCAACUGUAACUUAAUCAGCAUGACAACACAAGUAUGCAUGAUCUUGAAAACGUAAUUAUUCCUACGUUUUCCAAAUAAACUCAAUGCACAUGUAACAUACUACCAUGUCACAUAGCAAAAGAAACAACCACAUUUAAACACAUAUUAAUGUAUUUUGCGUUGUAGUUGGAAAAACAUCAAUAUUUGCCUUUUUCGCGAUUUCCUUGAUCAAUAUAUGCAUUGACACAAUAAUCUAUACAUUAAUCACAUCUUAUCUUAUUAUUUCCCGAUUAUUACAUCUCAACUAAACUUAUAAGAUAAUAUAAGUUAUUUAAUAGCAUACCCCUAAUAAAAAUAAUGACACUACUUUAUUGUCAUAUAGUAGUAAUAAUAAUAACAUUAAUAAUAUAAAUGAAAUUCUCGUUAUCGUCAUUAACUAAAUUCCAUAAAAUUAUUACAUGUACAAUUUAAGUUAGCCAAUACAUUACCAUAUUACUUUUCCAUUUCAUGCUUGAUCCACAUUUCUUUUCAAUCAACACGAGUUUAUAUACACAUCCAUACGCAUUAGUAAAUUUUCUUAUUCAAUCCAUAUUCUUCUUUACCACAUUUCCAACAUAUCUCACCAUUGAUACUAUGCAUUAUAACAUUUUUUCUUCACAUCUUAUCACAUAACUAGAUCAAAGUAAUUUAAAUUUAAGCUUCAAGUGCUAAUUGUUAUCUUUCUUCCCAUUUGAAUUUACCACUUAUAUAAAUAUAGUAGUGGCACAAUUUCCAUACCCAUUAUUAUGAUGAUAUUAACAAUUAUUAUACCAAGUUAUUUUCUAUCCCUGCUCACUUCUUUCUUACUCACUAUAUUUUCCCCCAAAACUAUUUUAUACAAUCUUUAAUAAUGCAAGUUAAGUAAACUAAAACUCAAUAUAUCUUCAACUAGUUUAUAAGUUUUAAAAUUUCCAAAGUCAAGAUUUUGAAAUUGAAAAAUUAUAAUUUAUUUUCCUUGAUUUUAUUAAUUAAACUUAACUAUAAUAUUAUCUUUUAUCAAUUACUAAAAAACCCUAAAGCAACAAAUUAU